AGUGGCGAACGGGUGAGUAACACGUAGGUAACUUACCUCUAAGACGAGGAUAACGACUGGAAACGGUCGCUAAAACUGGAUAGGAUAACGAGAGGCAUCUCUUGUUAUUUAAAAGGGCUUUACAGCCAUGCUUAGAGAAAGGCCUGCGGCGCAUUAGCUAGUUGGUGAGGUAGAGGCUCACCAAGGCGAUGAUGCGUAGCCGGACUGAGAGGUCGAACGGCCACAUUGGGACUGAGACACGGCCCAAACUCCUACGGGAGGCAGCAGUAGGGAAUUUUCGGCAAUGGGGGAAACCCUGACCGAGCAACGCCGCGUGAAUGAAGAAGUAUUUCGGUAUGUAAAGUUCUUUUAUUGAGGAAGAAUGGGUUGGGAAGGAAAUGACCUAACCGUGACGGUACUCAAUGAAUAAGCCCCGGCUAACUAUGUGCCAGCAGCCGCGGUAAUACAUAGGGGGCAAGCGUUAUCCGGAAUUAUUGGGCGUAAAGGGUGCGUAGGCGGUUCGUUAAGUCUAAGGUGUAAGUUCAAGGCUCAACCUUGUGAUGCUUUAGAAACUGGCGAACUAGAGAUAGAUAGAGGCAAGUGGAAUUCCAUGUGUAGCGGUAAAAUGCGUAAAUAUAUGGAGGAACACCAGUGGCGAAGGCGGCUUGCUGGGUCUAUACUGACGCUGAGGCGCGAAAGCGUGGGGAGCAAACAGGAUUAGAUACCCUGGUAGUCCACACC
RNAcentral lists this ribosomal RNA (720 nucleotides) under uncultured bacterium. RNAcentral describes it as "bacterial SSU rRNA". It matches the Rfam family "Bacterial small subunit ribosomal RNA", at positions 94 to 801 of the family's 1533-position model. The record is from RNAcentral.